Onychostoma macrolepis is the source of this 799-nucleotide long non-coding RNA. RefSeq lists it as uncharacterized. Lineage: Eukaryota; Metazoa; Chordata; Actinopteri; Cypriniformes; Cyprinidae. The record is from RefSeq and is a predicted model, not a curated record. The transcript has 5 exons.
CUCGAAGGCCUUAAUUGCAAAGAAUGUGGAAAUCCUGUCAGGGAGUGACUGGUGGCGCCAGUUUAUUUGAGGUGGGGGAGGAUAUCGGAUAUUCAUCUAUUCACACGCAAUUUGAUUGGCAAAGGCUCUAUAUUAGUGUGAAUGUGGCAGUGCAAAGGGUGCUCAGUAGCAGUUUCCAGUAGAUUGGCACUACUAAACCAUUAUCGAGUCCAGCAUCCUCAUUGUGGACGUACAAGCCAGUAUCCAUGAUGAUGACGUCGAUGUUGGGCGAGAGUGUAUUAUCAAGGGGCUCUGCGUAUACCUCAGUGAGGACCCAGGCAGUUUGGUGAAAGAGUAUGUGUGUACUUGAGCCGGUAUGUGUGUCCCGUGUGGAGCAACCGGGGCCAAAGUGCACACCAAGAGAUUCUGCUCGUGGAGAAAACCUACUGCUCCGUGUACACCCAAUGAACAUGGAGAACCGGACGUUUCUGACCCUAGAAAAUCUGGCCACGGUGUACAUCAGAGAAAUGUUUAUGAGAGGUUUUAAUAAUCAAGUUUGACAGUGUUUUGAAUGGAAGCGAGGAAAAUAGUCUGAGUAUUUGACAGCUUUGUGUGUCGUCUGAGGCCAAAGAUUAGAUUCUGACAAAAGAGAAUAUGUUUUUGACUAAAAGUUUGCACUAGUUGGUGUGUAGUUUUGAGAUUGUGUUUAUAGGUGUGAGAAAAUGGUGAAUUGUUUCAUGAAUUGUGUUAGCAAUCGAGAAAAACUGUGACAUAAUUUUAUCAAUUAUAUAUAUAUAUACAGUUGUUGUUAUUGUUUUUU